CCUACGGGGGGCAGCAGUGGGGAAUAUUGCACAAUGGGCGAAAGCCUGAUGCAGCAACGCCGCGUGAAGGAAGAAGGGUUUCGGGUCGUAAACUUCUAUCAACAGGGACGAAAGAAAUGACGGUAACUGCAUAAGAAGCCCCGGCUAACUACGGCCGAGCAGCCGCGGUAAGACGUAGGGGGCAAGCGUUAUCCGGAAUUACUGGGUGUAAAGGGUCAGUAGGCGGCAUGUUAAGCCAGAUGUGAAAGCCUUGGGCUUAACCCGAGGAUUGCAUUUGGAACUAUCAAGCUAGAGUACAGUAGAGGAAAGCGGAAUUCCUAGUGUAGCGGUGAAAUGCGUAGAUAUUAGGAAGAACACCAGUGGCGAAGGCGGCUUUCUGGACUGAAACUGACGCUGAGGCACGAAAGUGUGGGGAGCGAACAGGAUUAGAUACCCCUGUAGUC
RNAcentral lists this ribosomal RNA (443 nucleotides) under uncultured bacterium. Its description in RNAcentral is "partial 16S ribosomal RNA". It matches the Rfam family "Bacterial small subunit ribosomal RNA", at positions 338 to 795 of the family's 1533-position model. The record is from RNAcentral.